RNAcentral lists this long non-coding RNA (277 nucleotides) under Arabidopsis lyrata. RNAcentral's name for it is "long non-coding RNA (ALYR_LNC001328)". The record is from RNAcentral. Lineage: Eukaryota; Viridiplantae; Streptophyta; Magnoliopsida; Brassicales; Brassicaceae.
UUAGAUCAUUCAAGGAUUGGAAAAUGUAACGGCUUUGUUGUGUUAUCGCAACAAGUGAAUUGGGAAUAAGCAGAAUAAUGUAAAAGAGAGACAUGAUAAUGAGUAUUAUUAACUUAUGAACACAUAUUUGCUCUAAUGAACACUCGAAUUGUCUGUAGACUGUAGGUCUUAGAAAAAAACAAAAAAAAAUGUAUGUAUUUGAUCAUAUAUUUGCACCAACUUUUCUGUUCUUACUUAUGGUGUUUUGUAUUAAAGUUUGAUGAAACUGUUUGGGUUU